Molecule: transfer RNA, 76 nt
Filed under: Thomasclavelia spiroformis
Lineage: Bacteria; Bacillati; Bacillota; Erysipelotrichia; Erysipelotrichales; Coprobacillaceae
Description: tRNA-Thr
Rfam family: tRNA
About the family: Transfer RNA (tRNA) molecules are approximately 80 nucleotides in length.
Source: RNAcentral
GCUGGAGUAGCUCCAACGGUAGAGCAACUGACUCGUAAUCAGUAGGUUGUCGGUUCGAAUCCGAUCUCCAGCACCA